Molecule: non-coding RNA, 131 nt
Filed under: Veillonella sp. oral taxon 780 str. F0422
Lineage: Bacteria; Bacillati; Bacillota; Negativicutes; Veillonellales; Veillonellaceae
Also listed under: 1 other name
Description: FMN riboswitch aptamer (RFN element)
Rfam family: FMN riboswitch aptamer (RFN element)
About the family: The RFN element is a highly conserved domain that is found frequently in the 5'-untranslated regions of prokaryotic mRNAs that encode for flavin mononucleotide (FMN) biosynthesis and transport proteins. This element is a metabolite-dependent riboswitch that directly binds FMN in the absence of proteins.
Source: Rfam by way of RNAcentral
AGAAGUCUUUGAGGCAAGGUGCGAGGGGAACCUCAAUUCCUGACCGGCGGUAUAAUAGUCCGCAAGCUCUUGAGAGCAGAUCCGGUGAUAUUCCGGAACCGACAGUAAAGUCUGGAUGGGAAAAGACAGUA